AUGGUUAAGUGGGAAACGAUGUGGGAAGGCCCAGACAGCCAGGAUGUUGGCUUAGAAGCAGCCAUCAUUUAAAGAAAGCGUAAUAGCUCACUGGUCGAGUCGGCCUGCGCGGAAGAUGUAACGGGGCUAAACCAUGCACCGAAGCUGCGGCAGCGACACUAUGUGUUGUUGGGUAGGGGAGCGUUCUGUAAGCCUGUGAAGGUGUGCUGUGAGGCAUGCUGGAGGUAUCAGAAGUGCGAAUGCUGACAUAAGUAACGAUAAAGCGGGUGAAAAGCCCGCUCGCCGGAAGACCAAGGGUUCCUGUCCAACGUUAAUCGGGGCAGGGUGAGUCGACCCCUAAGGCGAGGCCGAAAGGCGUAGUCGAUGGGAAACAGGUUAAUAUUCCUGUACUUGGUGUUACUGCGAAGGGGGGACGGAGAAGGCUAUGUUGGCCGGGCGACGGUUGUCCCGGUUUAAGCGUGUAGGCUGAUUUUCCAGGCAAAUCCGGAAAAUCAAGGCUGAGGCGUGAUGACGAGGCACUACGGUGCUGAAGCAACAAAUGCCCUGCUUCCAGGAAAAGCCUCUAAGCAUCAGGUAACAUCAAAUCGUACCCCAAACCGACACAGGUGGUCAGGUAGAGAAUACCAAGGCGCUUGAGAGAACUCGGGUGAAGGAACUAGGCAAAAUGGUGCCGUAACUUCGGGAGAAGGCACGCUGAUAUGUAGGUGAAGCGACUUGCUCGUGGAGCUGAAAUCAGUCGAAGAUACCAGCUGGCUGCAACUGUUUAUUAAAAACACAGCACUGUGCAAACACGAAAGUGGACGUAUACGGUGUGACGCCUGCCCGGUGCCGGAAGGUUAAUUGAUGGGGUUAGCGGUAACGCGAAGCUCUUGAUCGAAGCCCCGGUAAACGGCGGCCGUAACUAUAACGGUCCUAAGGUAGCGAAAUUCCUUGUCGGGUAAGUUCCGACCUGCACGAAUGGCGUAAUGAUGGCCAGGCUGUCUCCACCCGAGACUCAGUGAAAUUGAACUCGCUGUGAAGAUGCAGUGUACCCGCGGCAAGACGGAAAGACCCCGUGAACCUUUACUAUAGCUUGACACUGAACAUUGAGCCUUGAUGUGUAGGAUAGGUGGGAGGCUUUGAAGUGUGGACGCCAGUCUGCAUGGAGCCGACCUUGAAAUACCACCCUUUAAUGUUUGAUGUUCUAACGUUGGCCCGUUAUCCGGGUUGCGGACAGUGUCUGGUGGGUAGUUUGACUGGGGCGGUCUCCUCCUAAAGAGUAACGGAGGAGCACGAAGGUUGGCUAAUCCUGGUCGGACAUCAGGAGGUUAGUGCAAUGGCAUAAGCCAGCUUGACUGCGAGCGUGACGGCGCGAGCAGGUGCGAAAGCAGGUCAUAGUGAUCCGGUGGUUCUGAAUGGAAGGGCCAUCGCUCAACGGAUAAAAGGUACUCCGGGGAUAACAGGCUGAUACCGCCCAAGAGUUCAUAUCGACGGCGGUGUUUGGCACCUCGAUGUCGGCUCAUCACAUCCUGGGGCUGAAGUAGGUCCCAAGGGUAUGGCUGUUCGCCAUUUAAAGUGGUACGCGAGCUGGGUUUAGAACGUCGUGAGACAGUUCGGUCCCUAUCUGCCGUGGGCGCUGGAGAACUGAGGGGGGCUGCUCCUAGUACGAGAGGACCGGAGUGGACGCAUCACUGGUGUUCGGGUUGUCAUGCCAAUGGCACUGCCCGGUAGCUAAAUGCGGAAGAGAUAAGUGCUGAAAGCAUCUAAGCACGAAACUUGCCCCG
RNAcentral lists this ribosomal RNA (1763 nucleotides) under Escherichia coli. RNAcentral describes it as "partial 23S ribosomal RNA". It matches the Rfam family "Bacterial large subunit ribosomal RNA", at positions 1055 to 2801 of the family's 2925-position model. Lineage: Bacteria; Pseudomonadati; Pseudomonadota; Gammaproteobacteria; Enterobacterales; Enterobacteriaceae. The record is from RNAcentral.